CAUUCGUUACGCCGACAAGCUAAUAGCUCUUCUUUCUGCUUGUGUAGGCCCAUCCCCGUAUCGUGUGAGUAAGGUUCUAUGAAGUCUUUUCUUUUAGAGCCUCUCGCUUUGCCUCCCUUUGCCUCCUCAGCUGUGAAAUUCGAUCGAUUCAUCUUGACCGGAUCACAUAGCAUUAGUUGAGCGGUAAAAUAUGGUAAUAUUGAAUUUCUCUUUAGCUUCUAAUUACUUAUAUAUAUAAUGUAAUAUAAUUACUAAAAGCGAAUUAAAUCCAGGUGGACUACAGGAUGUGGGGUUUGGGACUUUUUCUAGAGAACCAGUCCCACGAGCUGAAGCCAAGCUGUACUUAG
RNAcentral lists this long non-coding RNA (347 nucleotides) under Gossypium barbadense (sea-island cotton). RNAcentral's name for it is "long non-coding RNA (GBAR_LNC015446)". The record is from RNAcentral. Lineage: Eukaryota; Viridiplantae; Streptophyta; Magnoliopsida; Malvales; Malvaceae.